UCUGAGAGGCCCCUCGGGGCCCUGGAAGCUGAGUCCCCAACUCCUUCUCACAGUGCCUCAGCCCUUUGCUCACCACCGCUGUCUCUGAGAUGUUUUGUCACUCAAAGAUCAGUAGUCAGCUGAGCGCCAUGGUUUAGGCUCCUAAUCCUAAGAUCUCAAAUCAAGCCCAGAAUGGGCAACUGUGCAACUCAAGAGAGACCUGCUCUCAAAAUAAAAAAUAUAAAGGUGGUUGGGAUGCAGCUCGGUGUAAAAGCCCUGGGUUCAAUUCCCAGAUCUGCUCCCAGUCCCAAAUCAAGUCAUGUAGCUAUGGCCUCUGAUCCCUGGGAGGGUGAGCAUGUCAGAGCAUUUGGCCUGGCAGUUGCCAGAGUCCCCGGAAUCUCUCCUAGCUGAGGAGCUUGAGCUACUGGGGGUCACAUCUAACCCUGCCACUUCCUAUUACAAGAGGCUAAGUGAGUUCCUGUCUCUGACCUGCAUUUCCGUAUCUGUGAAAGGGACUCGUAAUGCCUACACUGAACGUUGUCAUCAAUGUAUAAGAGUCGGAAAGUUAUUUUUACUAUCAUUUCAAUAUUAGGGUAGCUGUAGCUGCGUCUGUAAUUCUCUGCGGCAGUACCUGUAUCUACAGAUGUAAUGGCGGACAGACCGUGUCAGCUCGAGAAGGUUAGAAGUCUAACUAAAGCUCGGCAGUUCUGCACCCCAGGGUGCAGCCCCACAGCUCAUUGCCUGGACACUGGAAAGGGAAGGUGAGGAAGGGCGGGCUGCUUCUGUUGUUCGGAGCAGCUCCAGGCCUCGACUGCAGCUUGGACGUGCUCUCCUGGCCUCCAGCGCUGCUUCUCUGGCUGCUGGUGCAGAUCUUUCAGCCACCCAGGGCAGAAUCUUUACCUUCUGUCCUAGACCCAUGGCCUCCUGAUGCGGACUUGCACGGACACUGCGGUGAGCCCCAGGCCUCGGCAUGCAGACCCCCUCGGCAGACCUCCUCUGACUCUGUCUGACCACACACUGCCUGAGAGUCUUGAUCUAGAUGUGAGCACGACAGUCAUGCCUGCUUCAUUAGUCUGCGGUCCUAGCACACAGGAAGCAUUUAGGGCUAUGCGGAGCUCUGUGGGAAUCAGUGCUGAUAUAAUGACGGCGAUGCACCUUCCCCCUGCUUCUGAGAACCCAGGACUAGGCACUCGAGGAAGAUGCUGCUCCCAGCUGAGACACUGAACCCCACUGUCUCCUCAGAGUUGUCACUUUCGGUUCCCAUACAAACCCCCAUUCAUCCACAUAGCCACACACCGCCGGGGGGCUGAGUCAGCAUCACAGUGCCUAGGACACGAUGUUUGUCAGCUUUCUGUGACUGUAACAGAUGCAUGAGAUACUUUACAGAGAGGAAAAGUCCAUCUCAACUCGCAGCUGUGUAGGGUCCAAUUCACAGCCUAUUGGCUCCACUGCCUUGGGACUCUGGAGGAAGACAGCACAGCACAUGGCAGAGGAAAGCUCCUUAUGUCACCGGGAUGGAAGUGAAAUGGAGGAAAGACCCUAUCUCUGGUCACAAAGGCCACUCCCCCGAGACCUGGGGACCUUCUGCGAGGUCUCAGCCCUUACAGGUUUCACCACCUUCUACCACCUGGGAGUAAGCCUUUAGUACCCAGUAUAUGGGGAACAUUCCAGAUCUAAGCCAGGGAAGACUGUGAAAGGGUCUCCUCUGUAUCUAUCACCCUGCUCACUUUCAGGCUGUGAGCUCUGGCUUGGGAGCCCCAGUAUCCCACAUCCUGGAAAAGGCCUCCUAACCCUGUGACACGUACUUACUGAUGCUUGAUAGGGAUGAGCUCAGUAGGGAUGAGCACAGUCUCUUUCUGCUCAGUAGCUCUUCAGCUGCGGUGCAAACCCGAGAAGCCACAUGUUUGUCCUCUGGCUGAUUCACUCUUUAGCAAUGUGAGUGGAAAUUGGAGGAAAGGUCACCUCGGCUGGGCCCCAGCAAACUAGGACACCACGUUACAAAAGAAUGUGGCUCCUCAGCCAUCUACUUUGCUCCAAGAGUUUGCACAGGAUCCAGGUAAGGUGAGAGGGGAAGGAAGAGCCAAGUUGAUGCUGGAAGCUGUCGAGGCUGGGCUCUUCUGAGGUGCCUAGAGCUCCUCACUACAGCGUAGGCCUGCAGGCCAAGUGACCAGCUGAAUGUGCAGGGCGGAGGGCAGGAGGAGAGCUGUGAAGUCACAUGGUUAUUUCCUCACCCACUUCCCUGCACAGUGGGGCACCAGCUCGCCCACAGCCUCCUUCAGCCUGCUGCUGUGCUAAGGGCUGCUCCCCAUUUCUCUUUCAUCAUGAACCAUGGCCAGGUUAGACCUGGACACACAGCAACCUCCGCCGACCAGACCCAGAAGGAAGAAUUUGUGUUAUUGCUGGGGAGUUGAGAGGUUGUGUGAGAGUCUGUGGAACAUCCAUCAUCCCAGGGCCCCGGUGGUGAGUGAAAGCUUUACUGGGUGACAUUGCUGGGGCUGAAGACCACUUGUUUCUGCCACCUAAGAAGCUCGCCCUGCAGGAUUUCCCAUCCAGGUUCACCUCUUCCACACAGACCGAGUUACCCUGGUCUCUUAUGGAUUAAAAAUUGGUGGUCAACUUAAUGCCAGCUGAGUUAAAUCAGCGUGGUGCUGAACAGAGAUGUUCCACCUGAGGAAAGUUGCCAGCAUAAAUAGAGACAUGGAGAAGAGUAAGGCAUUGUGGGUUCUCCUAAGUGUUGCUGUUUGAGCUGUUGGUUCUCCUGGAGGAGGUUGUCAUAACUAGCUUCCCCAGUGUGAGUUCGACCAUCGUCAUUAGAGGAGUCUGGGACCUUGUUGGCGAAGGUGGCAGUGAUUCACUUUGGGGGAGCUCUGGUCCUUACUCUGAGCAUCAUUUCCUGGCUCCAGAGGGGAAGGUGUGUGCUGUUUAAUCUCCAGGACAAACUCACCAUGGUGGCUUCCUGGCAUGUACUCGACUGUUUUUAUUAUCAGAGGAGCUUGGGACCUCUGUGUCACUGAGAAUGGCCAUGGUGCUUUUCAGGGCAGCCCUGGACCUUAUUAUGUGUGUGACUUCUCGGCUCCAGUGUAGAACCCUCAACCUACCAGCACAACUCCUUCACCCCACUGGCAUGGACUUUCCAGCUUCCACCGCUGACCUUUGGGCCUUCCCAGUGCAUAUCUGUAAAACAGACUGAUGUGAGUCCUUCAGUGGGUUCUGACCCUCUAGCUGGACUCGUGGGAGGCACUGUCAUGGGCUCUAGGUCUUCAUCUGGACUCAUGCAGGACAGUGCUGUGGGAUCCAGGCCCUUGGCUGAAUAUUCUGGGUCUUUAGUGUUGUGCACAGAUUUACUGCACUUCCUGUGUUUAGCUCUGGGUGACUAUCAUAAAAUAAUGUUAUAAA
This is a long non-coding RNA of Cavia porcellus (domestic guinea pig), 3375 nucleotides long. RefSeq lists it as uncharacterized. The record is from RefSeq and is a predicted model, not a curated record. The transcript is spliced from 2 exons. NCBI's taxonomy places the organism in Eukaryota, Metazoa, Chordata, Mammalia, Rodentia, Caviidae.